Long non-coding RNA from Oncorhynchus tshawytscha (Chinook salmon), 1936 nucleotides. NCBI's taxonomy places the organism in Eukaryota, Metazoa, Chordata, Actinopteri, Salmoniformes, Salmonidae. The record is from Ensembl.
AGAGAAGGGCCUGCUGUUGAGAUCACAAGAGCAAAGUGGAUGGUACCAGUGUAUGGCUCUAGCUGACAGCUAGACAGGCUUCAGUUACAGACCUAGUUCAGCCUGCACUAAACCAGCAGGCUGAACAAGGUUAGAGGGAACUCAGAGCGCAGAGUUCCGAGUGUGUAUAUCACCUGUGAGAGCGAUUAGCCAAUCACGGCCGGGCACACGCUCCCAACGAAGCAACUGUCUCGCUCUUUGAUGUGAAAUCUAAUUAAUGCUGCAAAGCCCCUCUCCUCGCAGUGAGUAUCCCCUGCCGUAAAUGACAGGGGAGAGAGCAGGAGAGAGACAGGGAGAGAGAAACAAGCAGCUCAACUUUAGAGAUUUCAUCCUUCUCAGUUGAGCUCUCUUCUGUCUCUCUGUCUCCAUGCACUGAUGACUUCUGAAACCUCUUUUCUCUUUAUCAUCAUGGGUCCUGCCUCACUGAGAGAUAUCCCUGGCUGUGUUUCAUAAGUGUGUGUGUGUGUGUGUGUGUGUGUGUGUGUGUGUGUGUGUUGACUUGUUUUCAUAUCCUGUUUUCAGACCAGAAUGUCCUGACAAGGCAGGAAACAAAUGUAAAUUCUGAAAAGUCAGGACAUUUUGCGUGUAAUUUCAGGUUUAAGGGUUAGGUUUGGGGUUAAGGUUAGGGUUAGGAGUUAGGUUUAGGGUUAAGGUUAGGAGUUAAGUUUAGGGUUAAGGUUAGGGGUAGGGUUAGGAGUUAGGUUUGGGGUUAAGGUUAAGGGUAGGGUAGGGUUAGGAGUUAGGUUUGGGUUAAGGUUAGGGGUAGGGGUAGGAGUUAGGUUUAGGGUUUGGAGUUAAGGUUAGGGGUAGGGUUAGGAGUUAGGUUUAGGGUUAAGGUUAGGAGUUAUGUUUAGGGUUUGGGGUUAGGGGUAGGAGUUAGGUUUAGGGUUUGGUUUAGGGUUAAAGUGGAACUGACAGCGUUCCAACUACUUUGCAUCUAUGAAACAGACCAUCAUAAUAUCAGUCAAAAAUAUAAAAUUCCCAGUUUAUGCUACAAACCAACUUAAUGUGAGGUUUUAAAAAUAGAUUCUAUUUGACUCAGCAUUCCAUGAUGUACACUAAGACAUUGUUGGCAGAAUAGAUGGAUGCAGUUCUAUGCAUGAUUCAUAUAAUUCACCAGUACAUGUGUUGAUAGUCCAGAAGAUAUGACCAUCAGGUUGUAACACAGCUGGCCUGGUACGUUGUUUGCUGCCUCCAUUCAGGAUGCACUGUUUCAGUUUCAACGACUCAAUAUUUUAGACAAUAACGAACGAAUGUAACUAAAGGUGGGAAUACAAUCAAUACAAUCAAACUAGCAAGGGCAAUGAUCACAAGUCAGUCAUAACCUGGCUAAAAGGGUAGCGUAUCUAUUUAUGUAGCAAGCUAAAAACACAGAGCCUAACUUUAGCUAGCUGCUAGUUCGGCGGUCGACGUCCGGUUUUCUAGCCAUCGCCAAUCCACCUUUCAUUUUUCCAUUUGUCUUGUCUUGUUUUCCUACACACCUGGUUUCAAUUCCCUCAGUAUUAGACGUGUAUAUAACCCUCUAUUCCCACCCCAUGUCUGUGUGUGGAAUUGUUUAUUGUUUCGUGUAUGUGCACGCUAGCUAGACUGGUCUGCGCUGGGUUAUGUCAACCCAUAUUGUGUUUAGGGUUCUUAGUGCCGUGGGUUUUGUCAACCCAUAUUGUGUUUAGGGUUCUUAGUGCUGUGGGUUAUGUCAACCCAUAUUGUGUUUAGGGUUCUUAGUGCUGUGGGUUAUGUCAACCCAUAUUGUGUUUAGGGUUCUUAGUGCUGUGGGUUAUGUCAACCCAUAUUGUGUUUAGGGUUCUUAGUGCUGUGGGUUAUGUCAACCCAUAUUGUGUUUAGGGUUCUUAGUGCUGUGGGUUUUUGUUCGCCGAAAUAAAAGGCUCCUUUGUCUCCC